Non-coding RNA from Oryza brachyantha (malo sina), 83 nucleotides. The record is from Rfam. Lineage: Eukaryota; Viridiplantae; Streptophyta; Magnoliopsida; Poales; Poaceae.
GAGCCUGUGAUGAUUAGAUACAUGUUGGAAUUACCGUCAGAUUUACAAAUGACGAUAAUUUGUCUGGCUUACUGAGGCUUCUU